This 445-nucleotide ribosomal RNA is filed under the name uncultured bacterium. RNAcentral describes it as "bacterial SSU rRNA". It matches the Rfam family "Bacterial small subunit ribosomal RNA", at positions 958 to 1399 of the family's 1533-position model. The record is from RNAcentral.
AACGCGAAGAACCUUACCAACCUUUGACAUGUCCAGUAUGGGUUUAGGAGACUAGACUCUUCAGUUCGGCUGGCUGGAACACAGGUGCUGCAUGGCUGUCGUCAGCUCGUGUCGUGAGAUGUUGGGUUAAGUCCCGCAACGAGCGCAACCCUCAUCUUUAGUUGCCACCAGGUAAGGCUGGGCACUCUAGAGAAACCGCCGGUGAUAAGCCGGAGGAAGGCGGGGAUGACGUCAAGUCCUCAUGGCCCUUACAGGUUGGGCUACACACGUACUACAAUGGUGGUGACAGUGGGUUGCGAAGUCGCGAGACGGAGCCAAUCCCCAAAAGCCAUCUCAGUUCAGAUUGUACCCUGCAACUCGGGUGCAUGAAGUUGGAAUCGCUAGUAAUCGCAGAUCAGCACGCUGCGGUGAAUACGUUCCCGGGCCUUGUACACACCGCUCGCGA